Long non-coding RNA from Manis pentadactyla (Chinese pangolin), 264 nucleotides. RefSeq lists it as uncharacterized. The transcript is spliced from 3 exons. The record is from RefSeq and is a predicted model, not a curated record. Lineage: Eukaryota; Metazoa; Chordata; Mammalia; Pholidota; Manidae.
UUCAGUUCAAUCAGAUUGCUUUGGGAAGUCAUUGCUGGCCAAUCAGUUCGUGGAGCUGUUUUGGACAUUAUCCAGAUGUUAAUAGAUCUCCCAGAAGUGACAGAGUUUGAAAACUACUCAUUUCAUCUAAGUUUAUGGUACAUUUUCAGGGCCUUCCUGACAACUCCUAUCUCAUGAUUAUGUUGUGUGGACGUAAAAUUGUCUCUGAAUUAAUGACAAAUGCAUCAUGGCCUUUAUGCAGUACGCUGUUUGAAAUGAUUAAAC